Molecule: long non-coding RNA, 684 nt
Organism: Peromyscus leucopus (white-footed mouse)
Lineage: Eukaryota; Metazoa; Chordata; Mammalia; Rodentia; Cricetidae
Exons: 3
Source: RefSeq, a predicted model, not a curated record
UUUUUUUUUCCCCUCAUAGAAGUCCUGUCUUAGGCUUCUUGGACUGGACAGUCUCAGCUGAAACUACUCACUGUUACAGUGAGAAGCAGCCCUUGGCACUUUGAGAGUGAAAAGUCAUGACUGUGUUCCAAUCAAACUUUAUUUACCACACUGGGCAGCUGGCCAGGCGUGGACUGGGCAGGGAUCUGCUGUACUGAACUGUAGUUCUCUGCAUUAACACAGUGUUAACUCAGAACACAAGAAACCCGCUGCAGAUGUGAUGCAGAAUCUCUCUGAAGGUUGUCUCCGAGGAGCCCCGCAAGGAGCAGGAAGUCCUAAAAAGAGGACACAAGCACAACGUUGGGCAAUAAGAGCCAUAGUCAAUGACCUUCCCUAGCCAAGAGAACAGCGCACAGUAAAACUGCCAUUCGCCUGAUACCGCCUGGCCUCCCCAUCUGUCAAGGCGGAGGAUGCGAGACCUGGUGGACUCCCUGUUGGGGCUGCACAGAAGAAUCUACACAAGCAUGAUCCCUCUUUUGAAGUUCCGUCCUUCUAGCCCCGGCACACUUCUCGGAUGAAGCAGGAGGAUGGCGGCAGAAGUGAGGAACGUCCAGUUUAAACUCCUUGUGAGACUCUGGCGCCAAGGAUGGAAUUCCCCAAGCUGGACUCUGCCCAGCAUGCCAGGCUUAGGUUAUUGGGUAAGAG